Long non-coding RNA from Phascolarctos cinereus (koala), 674 nucleotides. RefSeq lists it as uncharacterized. Lineage: Eukaryota; Metazoa; Chordata; Mammalia; Diprotodontia; Phascolarctidae. The record is from RefSeq and is a predicted model, not a curated record.
GUUAGGGGGAGGACCUCUUAUAAAUUAAUCCACACUAAAAAAAAAAAUGACAGCUCCCACCCCCUCUAAACUUUCAUAGGAUUAUUUGCUAAGUAAUCCUAAGCUAAUUCCUUUGGUGGAAUUUCAGGUGGUGUGUGGGAUACAUUUUGAGUGUACCACUCAGCCCUGAACACACUACUCCAGGUGUGAUUUGACCAACUAAGAGGAAUUAUUCCUUCCCAUGUUCUGGACACUAUUAGAGGCAGCUAGCUGGUGGUACAGUGGAUAGAGUUCUGGACCCCAAAUCAGAUAGAACUGAAUUCAAAUCCUGACACAGUCACUUGCUCAGACACUUUCAUCCCAGUAGUUAAGACUCAUAGCUUCCACAAAAUUGAUAUGCCGCAUCUUUCUUCAUUCAAGUCACUGGGAAAGUUUUACCAGGAUGUGGUUGCUGUGCAUGCUACAGCUUCUUGGAGCCACAGAUCUGCCCAGCACCUGUGAUGGAGCUCAGAACACAAUGGCAGCCCAACAGAUAUUGUUGACUCACUGAAUGUGGGAAAUUUUGUAUUAUGUUAGGGUAACAGCCAACCAUGGACACCUUUAGGUGUUUUGUCAAGGUCUUAGUAAUUGCCACAAUGGAAAGAACACUGUGUCUGGAGGCAAGGACCUGGGUCCAAAUGCAACCUUUGAAAUUU